RNAcentral lists this ribosomal RNA (253 nucleotides) under uncultured bacterium. Its description in RNAcentral is "partial 16S ribosomal RNA". It matches the Rfam family "Bacterial small subunit ribosomal RNA", at positions 524 to 776 of the family's 1533-position model. The record is from RNAcentral.
UACGGGGGGGGCAAGCGUUGUUCGGAAUUACUGGGCGUAAAGGGCUCGUAGGUGGCCAACUAAGUCAGACGUGAAAUCCCUCAGCUUAACUGGGGAACUGCGUCUGAUACUGGAUGGCUUGAGUUUGGGAGAGGGAUGCGGAAUUCCAGGUGUAGCGGUGAAAUGCAUAGAUAUCUGGAGGAACACCGGUGGCGAAGGCGGGUCUCUGGACAGUUCCUGACGCUGAGGCACGAAGGCCAGGGGAGCAAACGGG